This 433-nucleotide ribosomal RNA is filed under the name uncultured bacterium. Its description in RNAcentral is "partial 16S ribosomal RNA". It matches the Rfam family "Bacterial small subunit ribosomal RNA", at positions 29 to 507 of the family's 1533-position model. The record is from RNAcentral.
AACGAACGCUGGCGGCAUGCCUAACACAUGCAAGUCGAACGAGACCUUCGGGUGCUUUGGCGUACGGGUUUGUAACGCGUGGGAACCUUCCCUUAUGUUCGGAAUAACUCUCCGACUGGGGUGCCAAUACGGGAUAGUGUCUUCUGACCAAAGAUUUAUUGCCUUUGGAUGGGCCCGCGUUGGAUUAGAUUGUUGUUAGGGUAAAAGCCUACGAAGGCGACGAUCCAUAGCUUGUCUGAGAGACUGAUCAGCGACACUGGGACUGAGAAACGGCCGAGACUCCUCCGCGAGGCAGGAAUGGGGGAUAUUGGAACAUGGGGUAAGGCCUGAUCGAGCAAUGACGCGUGAGUGAUGAAGGCAUUAGGGAUGUAAAGCUUUAUUACCCGGGAUCAUAAUGACGGUACCGGGAGAAAAAGCCACGGCUAACUCCGUG